AGCUUGCUCCUGGAUUCAGCGGCGGACGGGUGAGUAAUGCCUAGGAAUCUGCCUGGUAGUGGGGGACAACGUUUCGAAAGGAACGCUAAUACCGCAUACGUCCUACGGGAGAAAGCAGGGGACCUUCGGGCCUUGCGCUAUCAGAUGAGCCUAGGUCGGAUUAGCUAGUUGGUGAGGUAAUGGCUCACCAAGGCGACGAUCCGUAACUGGUCUGAGAGGAUGAUCAGUCACACUGGAACUGAGACACGGUCCAGACUCCUACGGGAGGCAGCAGUGGGGAAUAUUGGACAAUGGGCGAAAGCCUGAUCCAGCCAUGCCGCGUGUGUGAAGAAGGUCUUCGGAUUGUAAAGCACUUUAAGUUGGGAGGAAGGGUUGUAGAUUAAUACUCUGCAAUUUUGACGUUACCGACAGAAUAAGCACCGGCUAACUCUGUGCCAGCAGCCGCGGUAAUACAGAGGGUGCAAGCGUUAAUCGGAAUUACUGGGCGUAAAGCGCGCGUAGGUGGUUUGUUAAGUUGGAUGUGAAAUCCCCGGGCUCAACCUGGGAACUGCAUCCAAAACUGGCAAGCUAGAGUAUGGUAGAGGGUGGUGGAAUUUCCUGUGUAGCGGUGAAAUGCGUAGAUAUAGGAAGGAACACCAGUGGCGAAGGCGACCACCUGGACUGAUACUGACACUGA
RNAcentral lists this ribosomal RNA (676 nucleotides) under Pseudomonas sp. RNAcentral describes it as "bacterial SSU rRNA". It matches the Rfam family "Bacterial small subunit ribosomal RNA", at positions 77 to 749 of the family's 1533-position model. Lineage: Bacteria; Pseudomonadati; Pseudomonadota; Gammaproteobacteria; Pseudomonadales; Pseudomonadaceae. The record is from RNAcentral.